CAAAAACAUCGCCUCCCGCAAAAAAUCAAUAUAUAGGAGGUCUUGCCUGCCCAGUGACUAUAAGUUAAACGGCCGCGGUAUUUUGACCGUGCAAAGGUAGCGCAAUCACUUGUCUUUUAAAUGAAGACCUGUAUGAAUGGUGAAACGAGGGCUUAACUGUCUCCCCACUCUAGUCAAUGAAAUUGAUCUACCCGUGCAGAAGCGGGUAUACUAAUACAAGACGAGAAGACCCUUUGGAGCUUAAGACAAAAAACCAACUACGUCAAAAGUCCUAAAAACUAAACCAAAUAGCACUGGUUUCAAUCUUCGGUUGGGGCGACCGCGGGAGAAAGCAAAGCUCCCAUGCGGACCGGGCUAAACCCCCUAAAACUAAGAGAGACAUCUCCAAGGCACAGAACAUCUGACCAAAAAGAUCCGGCUUCAUGCCGACCAACGGACCAAGUUACCCUAGGGAUAACAGCGCAAUCCCCUUCCAGAGUCCAUAUCGACAAGGGGGUUUACGACCUCGAUGUUGGAUCAGGACAUCCUAAUGGUGCAGCCGCUAUUAAGGGUUC
RNAcentral lists this ribosomal RNA (554 nucleotides) under Chaetostoma microps. RNAcentral describes it as "partial large subunit ribosomal RNA". It matches the Rfam family "Bacterial large subunit ribosomal RNA", at positions 1808 to 2574 of the family's 2925-position model. The record is from RNAcentral. Lineage: Eukaryota; Metazoa; Chordata; Actinopteri; Siluriformes; Loricariidae.